GGCGUAAAGCGCGCGCAGGUGGUUUCUUAAGUCUGAUGUGAAAGCCCACGGCUCAACCGUGGAGGGUCAUUGGAAACUGGGAGACUUGAGUGCAGAAGAGGAAAGUGGAAUUCCAUGUGUAGCGGUGAAAUGCGUAGAGAUAUGGAGGAACACCAGUGGCGAGGCGACUUUCUGGUCUGUAACUGACACUGAGGCGCGAAAGCGUGGGGAGCAAACAGGAUUAGAUACCCUGGUAGUCCACGCCGUAAACGAUGAGUGCUAAGUGUUAGAGGGUUUCCGCCCUUUAGUGCUGAAGUUAACGCAUUAAGCACUCCGCCUGGGGAGUACG
This 328-nucleotide ribosomal RNA is filed under the name Bacillus sp. OUCC BB3(3). Its description in RNAcentral is "bacterial SSU rRNA". It matches the Rfam family "Bacterial small subunit ribosomal RNA", at positions 557 to 884 of the family's 1533-position model. The record is from RNAcentral. Lineage: Bacteria; Bacillati; Bacillota; Bacilli; Caryophanales; Bacillaceae.